Long non-coding RNA from Prosopis cineraria, 1808 nucleotides. RefSeq lists it as uncharacterized. The record is from RefSeq and is a predicted model, not a curated record. The transcript is spliced from 3 exons. Lineage: Eukaryota; Viridiplantae; Streptophyta; Magnoliopsida; Fabales; Fabaceae.
GAGAGAGAGAGAAGCUCUAAUGCUCGGUUCUUCUGCUUCACCUUCUCCUUCAUCCUUCCGAUUACAACUUCGCCGGCGUGUGUAUGUUUGUCGCUGUUUUGUCCGGUAUUGAUCCAGCAACUCGUGGCUUCUGUUCCUUUCUUCUCCUCUGUUCUAGCUCGUCGAAGCUCGUUCUUCUACGCUGUCGGUGACUGUAUGGAUGAGUGCUCGGUUUUUCUUCCUCUCCCUGUUCGUGCGUUUGGGUUUAUAUGAGCAUGUGCGGCAUCUUAUUUUAUUCGAUGUAAGAAUUAAACGUCAGCCACAGAAAACACUUUCCUUCCAAGUGGUAUGCAUAUAAGGAUGGGUUGCUGGUGUGUGAAAUUCGAAGGACAAACGGAGCUGACAGAGACAACGAUAGGGACUAAUUAAAAAGUUUUGUAAAACACGGGGAUUGAAAGAUUGUUUUUGCCAAAAUUAUAUUACGUGUAUAUUGGUAUUGUCAAGUGGCAUAAAUUUUAUUGAUGAGAGACUUGGUUUUUUUCUUGGAAAACAAGAUCCCGAGAGCGAAUGUGAGGGGAAUGGGCAGGGUGUGUAGUAUAUUUUUGGGGUAUAGGGGCCAUUGGGCCAAGUGAGGCCCAGAAAGCAGAGAUUUUGAAAAGAGAUGGGAGGAAAUUGGGGGGGUAUGAUUGGUCCACAUACACACGGGACGGGAUUUCACGUGAAGAAAGUAAAUCCUGUAAUGCUUGUGCGGUUUCUUUCUAAAUUUCUCAUUCCUCAUCAAUGGCAUUAAGGAGCGCCCCUCUCUUUAAUCAUCAAAUUUAAUCUCACUCCCUCACAUGCAAACCCCAUCUCUCUUCUCUCACCCGUCCCUUCGGUGUUCUUAUUUAUUGCAUCUCCCGUUUCAUAAAUGUUCCCUCUCUGCCUUUUCUUUUCUCCAAUCCUCUUUCCAACAAACAAUCUCAAUUCUUAUUUCCUUUUUAGUUUUCCCUACUUAUGACCCUCACUUGUCACACCCGAAGCUUGCCCUCCGCCUGUUUUCAAUUUCACACCAAACUUAAUCCAUCCCACUACAAUGCCUUCCUACUCUAACAUUGAAUCCCAUAUCAGUAUGUAAUAUCAAUCCAUCUCUGAGUUUUCCGUCCCAAUUAUGACAUGACAACCUUGUGGGUGGGUUGCUAUUAAAUGGAGGCUUAAUUAAGAAGAUCAAGCUUGUGGAUGGGAAGCAAAGCUAACACCCCGAAUUAUAGCAUCGAUCAUUCAUGAGGCUUAUUUUCUAUUUUCAACCAAUGAUUUAACGAGAUCAAUGCUAUUCUUUCGGAGUAUGGUAUGGUCCUGAUAAAUCUCUCGCUUUAUUUUUAAUCAUUCACAUGACUGAUGACCGGCCACGGGGGGAGAUGUAAGAAACUCAACUAGAUUUGAUUUACUUUUCAAUGUUCUUUAAAUGAACUGGUUCCCCAGAUUGGUUACAUUUGGAAAGAAAGGAGGCUCGUCUUCGAGUGUAUCAUUUACCCCCCCCUUUUUUUUCAUGUGGGAUGAAUCAUGAACCAGGGAUAGAUUUGAAAGAGUGCAAUAACAAGAACUCACGAGUUUCCUCACCUGGAGCUCCGACAAAAAGUAGAGCACCCACCUCACCAAUAACUCACCACCACCACAGCCCCUAAGUAAUGACGUACUAGCAAUUAGCUGUGCGUAUCUGCCUUCAGCAUCCAUUCACGAGCCUAUUAAUGAAGGCACUUCACAUUCUCGCAUGAAAGCCUCUUAUAAAACUAUCUUCCCUGCGGUCAUACACUCCCACACCGUAGUGCAGAACGCAUCAGCUAAUCUAAAUG